AUUUUAAAUCUAGCCCAAACACAAUAAUUAUCCGCCAUCCAAUAGAUAAACCAUUUUUAUAUAAUAGUAUGGGAGACAAAAAAUUUAUUUAGCGCAAUAUAAAAAGUACUGCAAAGGAAAGAUGAAAUAGAAAUGAAACAAAAUUAAAAUACAAAAAAGCAAAGACCAUAACUUUUACCUUUAGCAUAAUGAUUUAGCAAGUCCACAUUAACAAAAAGAACUUCAGUUCUAUGCCCCGAAACCAGACGAGCUACCCAAAGACAGCAAACACUGAGCAAACUCUUCUCUGUAGCAAAAGAGUGAGAAGAGCUUUUGGUAGAGGCGAAAAACCUAACGAGCCUGGAUAUAGCUGGUUGCUUGAGAAUGAAUUUUAGUUCAACCAAAAGCAUAAAUAAUAUAAAAAAUUAUGCUUUUGAUAUAGUUAAUUGAGGUACAGCCCAAUUAAUAAAGGAAACAACCUA
Molecule: ribosomal RNA, 461 nt
Filed under: Desmognathus wrighti (pygmy salamander)
Lineage: Eukaryota; Metazoa; Chordata; Amphibia; Caudata; Plethodontidae
Description: partial 16S ribosomal RNA
Rfam family: Bacterial large subunit ribosomal RNA (bases 225-461)
Source: RNAcentral